RNAcentral lists this ribosomal RNA (274 nucleotides) under uncultured bacterium. RNAcentral's name for it is "partial 16S ribosomal RNA". It matches the Rfam family "Bacterial small subunit ribosomal RNA", at positions 523 to 796 of the family's 1533-position model. The record is from RNAcentral.
AUACGGGGGGUGCAAGCGUUAAUCGGAAUUACUGGGCGUAAAGCGCGCGUAGGCGGUUUGCUCAGUCGGAUGUGAAAGCCCAGGGCUCAACCUUGGAACUGCAUACGAUACUGGCAAACUAGAGUGUGAGAGAGGAUAGUGGAAUUUCCGGUGUAGCGGUGAAAUGCGUAGAUAUCGGAAGGAACAUCAGUGGCGAAGGCGACUGUCUGGCUCAACACUGACGCUGAGGUGCGAAAGCGUGGGUAGCAAACAGGAUUAGAUACCCGAGUAGUCC